Molecule: ribosomal RNA, 769 nt
Filed under: cf. Aschema sp. 13_15
Lineage: Eukaryota; Metazoa; Arthropoda; Arachnida; Araneae; Zodariidae
Description: SSU rRNA
Rfam family: Eukaryotic small subunit ribosomal RNA
Source: RNAcentral
AAAGUUAGAGGUUCGAAGGCGAUCAGAUACCGCCCUAGUUCUAACCAUAAACGAUGCCAGCCAGCGAUCCGGCUGUGUUCCUCAAAUGACACGCCGGGCAGCUUCCGGGAAACCAAAGCUUUUGGGUUCCGGGGGAAGUAUGGUUGCAAAGCUGAAACUUAAAGGAAUUGACGGAAGGGCACCACCAGGAAUGGAGCCUGCGGCUUAAUUUGACUCAACACGGGAAAACUUACCCGGCCCGGACACAGGAAGGAUUGACAGAUUAAGAGCUCUUUCUUGAUUCUGUGGGUGGUGGUGCAUGGCCGUUCUUAGUUGGUGGAGCGAUUUGUCUGGUUAAUUCCGAUAACGAACGAGACUCUAGCCUACUAAAUAGACGUUCCCAUCCUCUGAGUGGGACGUUCUUCUUAGAGGGACAAGCGGCGUUUAGCCGCACGAGACAGAGCAAUAACAGGUCUGUGAUGCCCUUAGAUGUCCGGGGCCGCACGCGCGCUACAUUGAAGGAAUCAGCGUGUGCUUUCCCGGUCCGACAGGACUGGGUAACCCGUUGAACCUCCUUCGUGCUGGGGAUAGGGRMUUGUAAUUGUUYCCCUUGAACGAGGAAUUCCCAGUAAGCACGAGUCAUAAGCUCGUGUUGAUUACGUCCCUGCCCUUUGUACACACCGCCCGUCGCUACUACCGAUUGAAUGAUUUAGUGAGGUCUUCGGACUGGCGCCCGGAGCGGCCUUCGGGUCGCGCCGGCGUGCCGGAAAGAUGACCAAACUUGAUCAUU